AAAGGAACUGCCACAGGUCAUGCCCAAAACAGACCUGACUACACAUUCAUCACCAUAUCGUUCGGGUUUGUGGAUCUGAGCAAAGGAAAGAAAAAGAACAAAAAGCCCAUUGAUUUGUUCACUCAAAUAAUGAAACAGAUGGCUGUUGGAAAGGGUAAAGGUCAAACCUUCCCUGUUGAAUAAAAUUCAAGUGAGGACACCAUAAGGAGGAUGGAGCCUGGAUUUAUCGCUGCUUGCCUAAUCGCAUACAGGCAGGAGGGGAGAAGGAGAAGAUUGCAACAGAAGU
This is a long non-coding RNA of Carcharodon carcharias (great white shark), 286 nucleotides long. RefSeq lists it as uncharacterized. The record is from RefSeq and is a predicted model, not a curated record. NCBI's taxonomy places the organism in Eukaryota, Metazoa, Chordata, Chondrichthyes, Lamniformes, Lamnidae. The transcript has 3 exons.